Non-coding RNA from Schistosoma curassoni, 45 nucleotides. NCBI's taxonomy places the organism in Eukaryota, Metazoa, Platyhelminthes, Trematoda, Strigeidida, Schistosomatidae. The record is from Rfam.
AUCUAGCUGACAAGUCCCAACUAGGACGAAACACGCCUCCUGGAU